UCGGUUAUCACGGUACCGAUGCUGUAUAUGUGAAAGGUACAGUACUGUGAUAACUGAAG
Molecule: microRNA precursor, 59 nt
Filed under: Ornithorhynchus anatinus (platypus)
Lineage: Eukaryota; Metazoa; Chordata; Mammalia; Monotremata; Ornithorhynchidae
Description: Oan-Mir-101-P2-v1_pre stem-loop
Rfam family: mir-101 microRNA precursor family
About the family: The hairpin precursors (represented here) are predicted based on base pairing and cross-species conservation -- their extents are not known. In this case the mature sequence is excised from the 3' arm of the hairpin.
Source: RNAcentral